RNAcentral lists this transfer RNA (77 nucleotides) under Pelistega indica. RNAcentral describes it as "tRNA-Arg". It matches the Rfam family "tRNA". Rfam says of the family: Transfer RNA (tRNA) molecules are approximately 80 nucleotides in length. Their secondary structure includes four short double-helical elements and three loops (D, anti-codon, and T loops). Further hydrogen bonds mediate the characteristic L-shaped molecular structure. tRNAs have two regions of fundamental functional importance: the anti-codon, which is responsible for specific mRNA codon recognition, and the 3' end, to which the tRNAs corresponding amino acid is attached (by aminoacyl-tRNA synthetases). tRNAs cope with the degeneracy of the genetic code in two manners: having more than one tRNA (with a specific anti-codon) for a particular amino acid; and 'wobble' base-pairing, i.e. permitting non-standard base-pairing at the 3rd anti-codon position. The record is from RNAcentral. RNAcentral also lists the same sequence under 1 other name. Lineage: Bacteria; Pseudomonadati; Pseudomonadota; Betaproteobacteria; Burkholderiales; Alcaligenaceae.
GUCUCCAUAGCUCAACUGGAUAGAGCAACCGCCUUCUAAGCGGUAGGUUGUGAGUUCGAUUCUCGCUGGAGGCGCCA